GUGAGGAAUAUUGGUCAAUGGGCGGGAGCCUGAACCAGCCAAGUCGCGUGAAGGAAGAAGGAUCUAUGGUUCGUAAACUUCUUUUGCAGGGGAAUAAAGUGCGGGACGUGUCCUGUUUUGUAUGUACCCUGAGAAUAAGGAUCGGCUAACUCCGUGCCAGCAGCCGCGGUAAUACGGAGGAUCCGAGCGUUAUCCGGAUUUAUUGGGUUUAAAGGGUGCGUAGGUGGUUUGAUAAGUCAGCGGUGAAAGUUUGCAGCUUAACUGUAAAAAUGCCGUUGAAACUGUCGGACUUGAGUGUAAAUGAGGUAGGCGGAAUGCGUGGUGUAGCGGUGAAAUGCAUAGAUAUCACGCAGAACUCCGAUUGCGAAGGCAGCUUACUAAGCUACAACUGACACUGAAGCACGAAAGCGUGGGGAUCAAACAGGAUUAGAUACCCGGGUAGUCC
This 445-nucleotide ribosomal RNA is filed under the name uncultured bacterium. Its description in RNAcentral is "partial 16S ribosomal RNA". It matches the Rfam family "Bacterial small subunit ribosomal RNA", at positions 354 to 796 of the family's 1533-position model. The record is from RNAcentral.